UCUUUGUUAGUAUAUCGGUUAGUACACGCGCCUGUCACGCGCGAAAGCGGGGUUCGACUCCCCGACAGAGAG
RNAcentral lists this transfer RNA (72 nucleotides) under Dichomitus squalens LYAD-421 SS1. It matches the Rfam family "tRNA". From Rfam's summary of the family: Transfer RNA (tRNA) molecules are approximately 80 nucleotides in length. Lineage: Eukaryota; Fungi; Basidiomycota; Agaricomycetes; Polyporales; Polyporaceae. The record is from Rfam by way of RNAcentral.